CGACAAGUUAUCUUUACUAUCAUUUAUUUGAAGGAAUUUGUUUUGGCCGUCGUCGUCGUGUUGCCGUCCUGCAUGCUUAAGCUCGCUAAUAGCCGUCCUAAAACGCUUCGCCGUCUUGUUUGCUUAAGGUCCCUAUCAUGUCGAAUUCGUAUACGACACAAGGGAAAGCUUUGCCUGACAAAGUCAGGCAGGAAAUUAUAGAGAAGUGGUUGAAUAACGAAGGAAUUGCCGAGAUAUCUCGGCAAUUAGUUUUACCAUACAAAAGUGUAUCUAAUAUUGUAGAUCUGUGGAUAACCACAGGUUCAACUAAACCUCGAUCUCCACAACGUGUUGGUAUUAGAACUGCUCGAACUGAUGAUGUUAUCAGGUACACUGAAUACACGAA
Paramuricea clavata is the source of this 385-nucleotide non-coding RNA. NCBI's taxonomy places the organism in Eukaryota, Metazoa, Cnidaria, Anthozoa, Malacalcyonacea, Plexauridae. The record is from the annotation of a GenBank genome assembly.